RNAcentral lists this ribosomal RNA (492 nucleotides) under uncultured bacterium. RNAcentral describes it as "partial 16S ribosomal RNA". It matches the Rfam family "Bacterial small subunit ribosomal RNA", at positions 29 to 507 of the family's 1533-position model. The record is from RNAcentral.
AGUGAACGCUGGCGGUAGGCCUAACACAUGCAAGUCGAACGGCAGCACAGUAAGAGCUUGCUCUUACGGGUGGCGAGUGGCGGACGGGUGAGGAAUACAUCGGAAUCUACUUUUUCGUGGGGGAUAACGUAGGGAAACUUACGCUAAUACCGCAUACGACCUACGGGUGAAAGCAGGGGAUCUUCGGACCUUGCGCGAUUGAAUGAGCCGAUGUCGGAUUAGCUAGUUGGCGGGGUAGAGGCCCACCAAGGCGACGAUCCGUAGCUGGUCUGAGAGGAUGAUCAGCCACACUGGAACUGAGACACGGUCCAGACUCCUACGGGAGGCAGCAGUGGGGAAUAUUGGACAAUGGGCGCAAGCCUGAUCCAGCCAUACCGCGUGGGUGAAGAAGGCCUUCGGGUUGGAAAGCCCUUUUGUUGGGAAAGAAAAGCAGCAGGUUAAUACCCCGCUGUUCUGACGGUACCCAAAGAAUAAGCACCGGCUAACUUCGUG